This 362-nucleotide long non-coding RNA is filed under the name Olea europaea (common olive). RNAcentral describes it as "long non-coding RNA (OEUR_LNC007190)". The record is from RNAcentral. Lineage: Eukaryota; Viridiplantae; Streptophyta; Magnoliopsida; Lamiales; Oleaceae.
UUGCUACACAACCCUGAGCUUUUGAUAUCUCAGGACCUUUUCCUUUAGCUUCUUCAUUCUUCUUGAGACUCCAACAAUCCCUUUUUAAGUGCCCUUUCUUGCCACAGUAAUGACACUUGGCAUUUUUCUGGCUCCGUUGAUCUCCCUCUCAUCAUCGUUAAAGCUUCUGCCUGAUUCGAACUUGUCAAUCUGUCCUCCUUGUUCUUGCGCCUCCUUUCCUCUUCAAGAACAGCAGCUGCAAUAUCAUCGAAGACUAGAGUUACAAGAUUGUUGGUUAAGUUGAUGAUGAGUUGAUCAUACGAAUCUGGUAGACUUUGAAGUAAGAUUUCAGCACGUUCACCAGUCUCUAUAUUAUGCUCCAU